GUUUAAAUAGCUUAAGAUUAGAGCAUAACAUUGAAGAUGUUAUGGUGGUAAGAACCUUUGAAUA
Molecule: transfer RNA, 64 nt
Filed under: Rhombosepion elegans
Lineage: Eukaryota; Metazoa; Mollusca; Cephalopoda; Sepiida; Sepiidae
Description: tRNA-Phe
Rfam family: tRNA
About the family: Transfer RNA (tRNA) molecules are approximately 80 nucleotides in length. Their secondary structure includes four short double-helical elements and three loops (D, anti-codon, and T loops).
Source: RNAcentral